AAUGAAGUCAUCAAAACAAAAUCACUGGGUAUACUUUAGUAAAGUGAGGUAAAAUUAGCAUAAAUUACAAUAUACUUUUGUGAACAGAAAAUACCAUUUCCCAUUUGUGUGACUGCAGCUUACUUAUUUUGACCCUUUAGAUUAAAAAACAAAAGAUACCACAGCUUUAUUUAGAAUAAAAAACCUUCCAAAAUAUGAACAUUAGGAAAAGCCUUUCAG
RNAcentral lists this long non-coding RNA (219 nucleotides) under Homo sapiens (human). RNAcentral's name for it is "HSALNT0219552". Lineage: Eukaryota; Metazoa; Chordata; Mammalia; Primates; Hominidae. The record is from RNAcentral.